AGAGUUUGAUCCUGGCUCAGGACGAACGCUGGCGGCGUGCUUAACACAUGCAAGUCGAGCGGUAAGGCCCAGCUUGCUGGGUACACGAGCGGCGAACGGGUGAGUAACACGUGGGUGACCUGCCUUCAGCUCUGGGAUAAGCCUUGGAAACGGGGUCUAAUACCGGAUAUGACCUUUGGUUGCAUGACCGGGGGUGGAAAGUUUUUCGGCUGGAGAUGGGCCCGCGGCCUAUCAGCUUGUUGGUGGGGUGAUGGCCUACCAAGGCGACGACGGGUAGCCGGCCUGAGAGGGCGACCGGCCACACUGGGACUGAGACACGGCCCAGACUCCUACGGGAGGCAGCAGUGGGGAAUAUUGCGCAAUGGGCGGAAGCCUGACGCAGCGACGCCGCGUGGGGGAUGACGGCCUUCGGGUUGUAAACCUCUUUUGCCAUCGACGAAGCCUUUCGGGGUGACGGUAGGUGGAGAAUAAGCACCGGCCAACUACGUGCCAGCAGCCGCGGUAACACGUAGGGUGCGAGCGUUGUCCGGAAUUAUUGGGCGUAAAGAGCUCGUAGGCGGUGUGUCGCGUCGGUCGUGAAAACUUUCAGCUUAACUGGGAGCGUGCGGUCGAUACGGGCAUCACUUGAGUACGGCAGGGGAGACUGGAAUUCCUGGUGUAGCGGUGAAAUGCGCAGAUAUCAGGAGGAACACCGGUGGCGAAGGCGGGUCUCUGGGCCGAUACUGACGCUGAGGAGCGAAAGCGUGGGGAGCGAACAGGAUUAGAUACCCUGGUAGUCCACGCUGUAAACGGUGGGCGCUAGGUGUGGGGGGCCAUUCCACGGUCUCUGUGCCGCAGCUAACGCAUUAAGCGCCCCGCCUGGGGAGUACGGCCGCA
RNAcentral lists this ribosomal RNA (876 nucleotides) under uncultured bacterium. Its description in RNAcentral is "bacterial SSU rRNA". It matches the Rfam family "Bacterial small subunit ribosomal RNA", at positions 8 to 890 of the family's 1533-position model. The record is from RNAcentral.